CCCAGACUCCUACGGGAGGCAGCAGUGGGGAAUAUUGCACAAUGGGGGAAACCCUGAUGCAGCAACGCCGCGUGAGUGAAGAAGUAUUUCGGUAUGUAAAGCUCUAUCAGCAGGGAAGAAGAUGACGGUACCUGACUAAGAAGCCCCGGCUAACUACGUGCCAGCAGCCGCGGUAAUACGUAGGGGGCAAGCGUUAUCCGGAUUUACUGGGUGUAAAGGGAGCGUAGACGGCAAUACAAGUCGGAAGUGAAAUACCCGGGCUCAACCUGGGAACUGCUUUGGAAACUGUAUGGCUGGAGUGCUGGAGAGGUAAGCGGAAUUCCUAGUGUAGCGGUGAAAUGCGUAGAUAUUAGGAGGAACACCAGGGGCGAAGGCGGUCUGCUGGACAGCAACUGACGGUGAGGCGCGAAAGCGUGGGGAGCAACCAGGAUUAGAUACCCUCGUAG
This 446-nucleotide ribosomal RNA is filed under the name uncultured bacterium. RNAcentral's name for it is "bacterial SSU rRNA". It matches the Rfam family "Bacterial small subunit ribosomal RNA", at positions 330 to 793 of the family's 1533-position model. The record is from RNAcentral.